UACGAAGGGGGCUAGCGUUGUUCGGAAUUACUGGGCGUAAAGCGCGCGCAGGCGGUUCGCCAAGUCAGUGGUGAAAGCCCGGAGCUCAACUCCGGAACUGCCAUUGAAACUGUUGAACUUGAGGACGAGAGAGGUGAGUGGAAUUCCCAGUGUAGAGGUGAAAUUCGUAGAUAUUGGGAAGAACACCGGUGGCGAAGGCGGCGACCUGGUCCGACACUGACGCUGAGGCGCGAAAGCGUGGGGAGCAAACAGG
RNAcentral lists this ribosomal RNA (253 nucleotides) under uncultured bacterium. RNAcentral's name for it is "partial 16S ribosomal RNA". It matches the Rfam family "Bacterial small subunit ribosomal RNA", at positions 524 to 776 of the family's 1533-position model. The record is from RNAcentral.